CAUGCAGUCGAACGCUUCUUUUUCCACCGGAGCUUGCUCCACCGGAAAAAGAGGAGUGGCGAACGGGUGAGUAACACGUGGGUAACCUGCCCAUCAGAAGGGGAUAACACUUGGAAACAGGUGCUAAUACCGUAUAACAAUCGAAACCGCAUGGUUUUGAUUUGAAAGGCGCUUUCGGGUGUCGCUGAUGGAUGGACCCGCGGUGCAUUAGCUAGUUGGUGAGGUAACGGCUCACCAAGGCCACGAUGCAUAGCCGACCUGAGAGGGUGAUCGGCCACAUUGGGACUGAGACACGGCCCAAACUCCUACGGGAGGCAGCAGUAGGGAAUCUUCGGCAAUGGACGAAAGUCUGACCGAGCAACGCCGCGUGAGUGAAGAAGGUUUUCGGAUCGUAAAACUCUGUUGUUAGAGAAGAACAAGGAUGAGAGUAACUGUUCAUCCCUUGACGGUAUCUAACCAGAAAGCCACGGCUAACUACGUGCCAGCAGCCGCGGUAAUACGUAGGUGGCAAGCGUUGUCCGGAUUUAUUGGGCGUAAAGCGAGCGCAGGCGGUUUCUUAAGUCUGAUGUGAAAGCCCCCGGCUCAACCGGGGAGGGUCAUUGGAAACUGGGAGACUUGAGUGCAGAAGAGGAGAGUGGAAUUCCAUGUGUAGCGGUGAAAUGCGUAGAUAUAUGGAGGAACACCAGUGGCGAAGGCGGCUCUCUGGUCUGUAACUGACGCUGAGGCUCGAAAGCGUGGGGAGCAAACAGGAUUAGAUACCCUGGUAGUCCACGCCGUAAACGAUGAGUGCUAAGUGUUGGAGGGUUUCCGCCCUUCAGUGCUGCAGCUAACGCAUUAAGCACUCCGCCUGGGGAGUACGACCGCAAGGUUG
Molecule: ribosomal RNA, 871 nt
Filed under: Enterococcus faecium
Lineage: Bacteria; Bacillati; Bacillota; Bacilli; Lactobacillales; Enterococcaceae
Description: bacterial SSU rRNA
Rfam family: Bacterial small subunit ribosomal RNA
Source: RNAcentral